GAGCUGGCAUUGCACAGGUCAGUGCAGGCCAGACCACACUGGGCCUCCAACACCAGGCAGAAAGGGCAAGGGCUUUUUCUGGUGGGUACUAGGGAGCCAUGAGAGAGCUGAGAGCAGGGAAGGGGUGAGUGUAAGCGUAGAAAGAUCCCUCCUAAGCCAAGCAGGGGACAGACUGGAGGAGUGAGGCUGAAGUCCAGGCUGAUGGACCAGACGGAGUCUUGUUCUGUCAUCUAGGCUGGAGUGCAGUGGCCUGAUCUCAGCUCACCGUAACCUCUGCCUCCCGGGUUCAAGUGAUUCUCCUGCCUCAGCCUCGUUGAGUAGCUGGGAUUACAGGCACACGCCACCAUGCUGGGCUAAUUUUUGUAUUUUUUAGUAAAGCCGGGAUUUCACCAUGUUGGUCAGGCUGGUCUUGAACUCCUGACCUCAGCUGAUCCGCCCACCUUGGCCUCCCAAAGUGUUGGGAUUACAGGCGCGAGCCACUGUGCCCGGCCUAACCAGACAUCAUCAUAAGCACUGAGGAUGUGGCAGUGUGCUGGGCAGACAUGGAGUAGACAGGUAGUGUCUACUAAAGAUUGGCACUCUCCUAUGAGCUUCGUCUAUUAUGAACCCAUUUUACAGGUGAGGUCACUAAGGCACAAGAGGUUAUGCCUCUUUCUCAGGGUCACCCAGGGCCUCACAGGAAACCCCACCAUCACAGAGCCUCCAGGACAGCUGCCUAGUCCCACAUCUUCCUCAGCCCUCAAAUCUUGCCUAUUAUGAGGCAGAACGCAGCACUGAAGAACAGAGUCCGAGGCACCCUGGGCUCAGUUGCAACUCUGCUGGGCACCCAACACAGACUGUGCUGCCCUCUCUUGGAGCCUCAGCUUCCUCAUCUGUAGAUGAGGAUAACAGUAUCUACCUACUAGGAUGGGUGAAAAUUACACAAG
Molecule: long non-coding RNA, 926 nt
Filed under: Homo sapiens (human)
Lineage: Eukaryota; Metazoa; Chordata; Mammalia; Primates; Hominidae
Description: HSALNT0398444
Source: RNAcentral